Molecule: long non-coding RNA, 987 nt
Filed under: Physcomitrium patens
Lineage: Eukaryota; Viridiplantae; Streptophyta; Bryopsida; Funariales; Funariaceae
Description: long non-coding RNA (PPAT_LNC003698)
Source: RNAcentral
AAUUUUGUAGAUUAGUGGUUAUAGUUAUGUUUAAUAUGUGUUGAUAAUUUUAGCUUGAUGUAAUGAUUGAAUUGAGGAUUAUUAAGGUUUAAGUGGAUGACGGUCUCAAAAAGUAGAAUUUUAAAUCUAGUGAGAGUUUAUAAAUUUUUUGUAAUCUACUUAUUGAAUUAGAGUAAAAAAUAUGUAUGUAGGUAGUAGACUUAUUUUUCUACAUUCAUAAAAAAAUUUAAACCAAUUAAACAAUGCAAAAAGAAGAUAUUUGCAAUGAAAGAUUAUCAUCUGUGUAGAAUUUUAAAUAAGAUCAAUAGAUUAAUCAAAAGAUAUUGAGAUUCUAAAUUAUUUUAGGAUUUGAUUUAGGAUUUAGGAUUUGGUAAAGAUUUGGUUAGGAUUUAAUUUAGAAUUUAGGAUUUGAUUAGGAUUUGAUUAGGAUUUCAUUGAGGGUUUAAAAUUUGAUUAGAAUUUGGUUUAGGAUUUAGAAUUUGGUUAAGAUUUGAUUAAGAUUUGAUUUAGGAUUUGAUUGGAUUUUGAUUUAGGAUUUAGGAUUUACUUAGGAUUUGAUUUAGGAUUUAAGAUUUGGUUAGGAUUUGGUUUAGAGUUUAGGAUUUGAUUAGGAUUUGAUUAGGAUUUGAUUUAGGAUUGGAAUUUGAUUAGAAUUUGAUUUAGGAUUUAGAAUUUGGUUAAGAUUUGGUUCGGAUUUGGUUUAGGAUUUGAUUAGGUUUUGAUUUAGGAUUUAAGAUUUAGUUAGGAUUUGAUUUAGGAUUUAAGAUUUGGUUAGGAUUUGGUUUAGAUUUUAGGAUUUGAUUAGGAUUUUUCUAAUAUUUGGUUUAAGAUUUAAGAUUUGAUUAAGAUUUGAUUUAGGAUUUAGGAUUUGUCUAGGAUUUGAUUGAAGUCUAUGAAGGUUUCAACUAGGAUUAAAUUAGAACUUAAUUAAAAUUUAUUUAAAAUAUAUUGUGAUUAUUUUAAUAUUUUUAAGGACUUCUUAAGAAU